This 584-nucleotide ribosomal RNA is filed under the name uncultured bacterium. Its description in RNAcentral is "bacterial SSU rRNA". It matches the Rfam family "Bacterial small subunit ribosomal RNA", at positions 28 to 605 of the family's 1533-position model. The record is from RNAcentral.
GAUGAACGCUAGCGGCAGGCCUAACACAUGCAAGUCGAGGGGCAGCGCGGUGCAGCAAUGCACUGGCGGCGACCGGCGUACGGGUGCGUAACGCGUAUGCAACCUGCCCCGCACCGGGGGAUAGCCCGCCGAAAGGCGGAUUAAUACCCCAUGGUCCCGGGUGUCCGCAUGGGCUUCCGGGUAAAGCCUUGGUGGUGCGGGAUGGGCAUGCGUGCCAUUAGCUGGGUGGUGGGGUAACGGCCCACCAGGGCAACGAUGGCUAGGGGUUCUGAGAGGAUGGUCCCCCACACUGGUACUGAGACACGGACCACACUCCUACGGGAGGCAGCAGUGAGGAAUAUUGGUCAAUGGGCGGAAGCCUGAACCAGCCAUGCCGCGUGCGGGAAGAAGGCCCUACGGGUUGUAAACCGCUUUUCCCCGGGAAGAAUAACCCCGACGGGUCGGGGGAUGCCGGUACCGGGGGAAUAAGGAUCGGCUAACUCCGUGCCAGCAGCCGCGGUAAUACGGAGGAUCCGAGCGUUAUCCGUAUUUACUGGGUUUAAAGGGUGCGUACGCCGCCCUGCAAGUCAGCGGUGAAAUGUGGC